GAGCAACAGCCCAAAGCAGUGCUUUUUAAAAUGACAGUUUCAUGCAGACGGGGACUUGGGGAGAUAGCUGUGCUUUCCUGAAACAAGCUGAAGACGUGUUGGACCGGGCUUGGAGCACUGCAGCAUAUUCCAUGGAGAGAGAACCUUACUUUUCUGCUGGUGUGGUGUUGAGAAGGGAAUUCCUCUUGAUGUGAAUGGAGAGCAGUUUUUGAACAUAUACUUUGGCACAAAAUAUACUGACUUUCUGCAGGGAUGUGCUGAACCAUGCAGCAGGAAAAGAGGAAUCCAAGCUGAGCAAAGCUGAGAGAAAAUAAAAUCAACUACAGAAGGUAAAAUGUCAGCCACCUUCCCCUUUGAAUUCUGCAAGACAUAACAGCUGAAGAGGUAAGAGCAGAUAACCAGAAAACAUGCAUCAGAGAAGCCUUUUUUGAGAACCAUUGGGUCUGCCAAGUGGUCUGGGCAGAAAAGCAGUAGCCUCGAAAGACACAUCUUUUAAAGAAGCUGAAUGAUUUUGGGACAUUGGUCUUCACUGCAGACAAAGGUAGAGAGAGAGAUGCCAUCCCACGAUGCUACUCUCUAGCAGUUAAAACUGAGGAACUGUUGGGCUUGAGGUAACCAGACACCCGCAUGCCACCUGAACGCCACUGGCUUCCCUACAGAAAGGUUUGCUGCCUUUUCAGAACAGUCUCUCAUGGGAUUCUUCAUUAGUUCCUGAAUCCCAAGCAGAGGCUUAUUGCCUGGUCUGCGUGAUAGUUUCUGG
This 760-nucleotide long non-coding RNA is filed under the name Gallus gallus (chicken). Its description in RNAcentral is "lncRNA (ENSGALG00010006967.1)". The record is from RNAcentral. Lineage: Eukaryota; Metazoa; Chordata; Aves; Galliformes; Phasianidae.